CUUCACCGACCCGAGCCACAACGGCUCGGCGCGGUCCUGCCCGUAGGCCGCCAGCAACGCCUGCGCCUC
Molecule: antisense RNA, 69 nt
Filed under: Actinophytocola oryzae
Lineage: Bacteria; Bacillati; Actinomycetota; Actinomycetes; Pseudonocardiales; Pseudonocardiaceae
Description: ASpks TB sRNA
Rfam family: ASpks TB sRNA
Source: Rfam by way of RNAcentral